GGAAAAAAAGAGAAGAGAGCGAGGGGGAAGGGGCCGGACUGUAUGGGCUGCGUUCAACAACAAAAGGAAAGAGUGGAGCGGCCAAACUCUAUUCAGAGAAGGAGGAGAAUGGGUCUGCUCUGCAUGGACGAGCAGCUGACAACCAAUCAAAUAAGAAAGAGGACUGAUGCCCCUUGAUUAUGUAGAAGCCCAGAACUAUGGCCAGGUACCGGGAUGGAGAUAUAGAGCGGGAGCAGAUCUGGAACUAGCCUGUGAAUGUAUGCCUUUCCUGACGUCUCCCCUGGAAUGAAUUGCUCGACGAGCAGGUGCCAAGCCGUUGCUAUGUUCACCAUACACUCUGAUCAAAAGCCUCAUGGACGUUCUUUUGACUUAAGCUUGUUGAAAAGGGGACGCCCCUCGCCGCCUCUGCUGUUUGUUUGAGAGUGUAUGAAGGAGAAGAAAAGAGCGAACAUUUUGAAAACAAGUGUUUCAUCAUUAAUACAAGCAGACUGAUUAAAAAACUGAACUUUGGCCUUGACACUUUGUAAUACUGCAGUGAACCACACUGAAUGGAUCUGAAAUUGAAAGCGAAUGAGUUAA
Micropterus salmoides (largemouth bass) is the source of this 579-nucleotide long non-coding RNA. RefSeq lists it as uncharacterized. The transcript is spliced from 3 exons. NCBI's taxonomy places the organism in Eukaryota, Metazoa, Chordata, Actinopteri, Centrarchiformes, Centrarchidae. The record is from RefSeq and is a predicted model, not a curated record.